This 429-nucleotide ribosomal RNA is filed under the name Acidobacteriota bacterium. RNAcentral's name for it is "Acidobacteria bacterium partial 16S ribosomal RNA". It matches the Rfam family "Bacterial small subunit ribosomal RNA", at positions 355 to 776 of the family's 1533-position model. Lineage: Bacteria; Pseudomonadati; Acidobacteriota. The record is from RNAcentral.
UGGGGAAUUUUGGACAAUGGGGGAAACCCUGAUCCAGCCAUCCCGCGUGUGCGAUGAAGGCCUUCGGGUUGUAAAGUACUUUUGGCAGGAAAGAAACGUCAUGGGUUAAUACCCCGUGAAACUGACGGUACCUGCAGAAUAAGCACCGGCUAACUACGUGCCAGUAGCCGCGGUAAUACGUAGUGUGCAAGCGUUAAUCGGAAUUACUGGGCGUAAAGCGUGCGCAGGCGGUUCGGAAAGAAAGAUGUGAAAUACCAGAGCUAAACAUUGGAACUGCAUUUUUAACUACCGGGCUAGAGUGUGUCAGAGGGAGGUGGAAUUCCGCGUGUAGCAGUGAAAUGCGUAGAUAUGAGGAGGAACACCGAUGGCGAAGGCAGCAUACUGGGAUAACACUGACGAUCAUGCACGAAAGCGUGGGGAGCAAACAGG